RNAcentral lists this non-coding RNA (102 nucleotides) under Halalkalibacterium halodurans. RNAcentral's name for it is "Bacillus halodurans Guanine sequence". It matches the Rfam family "Purine riboswitch aptamer". From Rfam's summary of the family: Riboswitches are metabolite binding domains within certain messenger RNAs that serve as precision sensors for their corresponding targets. Allosteric rearrangement of mRNA structure is mediated by ligand binding, and this results in modulation of gene expression. A class of riboswitches that selectively recognises guanine and becomes saturated at concentrations as low as 5 nM. RNAcentral also lists the same sequence under 1 other name. Lineage: Bacteria; Bacillati; Bacillota; Bacilli; Caryophanales; Bacillaceae. The record is from RNAcentral.
AUUUACAUUAAAAAAAGCACUCGUAUAAUCGCGGGAAUAGGGCCCGCAAGUUUCUACCAGGCUGCCGUAAACAGCCUGACUACGAGUGAUACUUUGACAUAG